GGCUGCCUACGGGGGGCAGCAGUGGGGGAUAUUGGACAAUGGGGGAAACCCUGAUCCAGCGAUGCCGCGUGAGGGAAGAAGGUUUUCGGAUUGUAAACCUCUGUGGAGGGGGACGAUAAUGACGGUACCCCUUUAGGAAGCCCCGGCUAACUACGUGCCAGCAGCCGCGGUAAUACGUAGGGGGCGAGCGUUAUCCGGAUUCAUUGGGCGUAAAGCGCGCGUAGGCGGCCCGCUAAGCGGGACCUCUAACCUGGGGGCUCAACCUCCAGCCGGGUCCCGAACUGGCGAGCUCGAGUGCGGUAGGG
Molecule: ribosomal RNA, 305 nt
Filed under: uncultured bacterium
Lineage: Bacteria
Description: partial 16S ribosomal RNA
Rfam family: Bacterial small subunit ribosomal RNA
Source: RNAcentral